UACGUAGGGUGCAAGCGUUGUCCGGAAUUAUUGGGCGUAAAGAGCUCGUAGGCGGUCAGUCGCGUCUGCUGUGAAAACUCGGGGCUUAACCCCGGACUUGCAGUGGGUACGGGCAGACUAGAGUGUGGUAGGGGAGACUGGAAUCCUGGUGUAGCGGUGGAAUGCGCAGAUAUCAGGAGGAACACCGAUGGCGAAGGCAGGUCUCUGGGCCACUACUGACGCUGAGAAGCGAAAGCAUGGGGAGCGAACAGG
Molecule: ribosomal RNA, 252 nt
Filed under: uncultured bacterium
Lineage: Bacteria
Description: partial 16S ribosomal RNA
Rfam family: Bacterial small subunit ribosomal RNA
Source: RNAcentral